GACGAACGCUGGCGGCGUGCUUAACACAUGCAAGUCGAACGGAAAGGCCCUGCUUUUGUGGGGUGCUCGAGUGGCGAACGGGUGAGUAACACGUGAGUAACCUGCCCUUGACUUUGGGAUAACUUCAGGAAACUGGGGCUAAUACCGGAUAGGAGCUCCUGCUGCAUGGUGGGGUUGGAAAGUUUCGGCGGUAGGGGAUGGACUCGCGGCUUAUCAGCUUGUUGGGGGGGUAGUGGCUUACCAAGGCAUUGACGGGUAGCCGGCCUGAGAGGGUGACCGGCCACAUUGGGACUGAGGUACGGCCCAGACUCCUACGGGAGGCAGCAGUGGGGAAUAUUGCACAAUGGGCGGAAGCCUGAUGCAGCAACGCCGCGUGCGGGAUGACGGCCUUCGGGUUGUAAACCGCUUUCGCCUGUGACGAAGCGUGAGUGACGGUAAUGGGUAAAGAAGCACCGGCUAACUACGUG
Molecule: ribosomal RNA, 467 nt
Filed under: uncultured bacterium
Lineage: Bacteria
Description: partial 16S ribosomal RNA
Rfam family: Bacterial small subunit ribosomal RNA
Source: RNAcentral